Molecule: ribosomal RNA, 508 nt
Filed under: uncultured bacterium
Lineage: Bacteria
Description: partial 16S ribosomal RNA
Rfam family: Bacterial small subunit ribosomal RNA
Source: RNAcentral
GACGAACGCUGGCGGCGUGCCUAAUACAUGCAAGUCGAACGCUUCUUUCCUCCCGAGUGCUUGCACUCAAUUGGAAAGAGGAGUGGCGGACGGGUGAGUAACACGUGGGUAACCUACCCAUCAGAGGGGGAUAACACUUGGAAACAGGUGCUAAUACCGCAUAACAGUUUAUGCCGCAUGGCAUAAGAGUGAAAGGCGCUUUCGGGUGUCGCUGAUGGAUGGACCCGCGGUGCAUUGGCUAGUUGGUGAGGUAACGGCUCACCAAGGCCACGAUGCAUAGCCGACCUGAGAGGGUGAUCGGCCACACUGGGACUGAGACACGGCCCAGACUCCUACGGGAGGCAGCAGUAGGGAAUCUUCGGCAAUGGACGAAAGUCUGACCGAGCAACGCCGCGUGAGUGAAGAAGGUUUUCGGAUCGUAAAACUCUGUUGUUAGAGAAGAACAAGGACGUUAGUAACUGAACGUCCCCUGACGGUAUCUAACCAGAAAGCCACGGCUAACUACGUG